GACGAACGCUGGCGGCGUGCUUAACACAUGCAAGUCGAACGGACAGGCCAUGCUCUUGUGGGGUGCUCGAGUGGCGAACGGGUGAGUAACACGUGAGUAACAUGCACUUGUAUUUGGGAUAACUUCAGGAAACUGGGGCUAAUACCGGAUAUGAGAUCCUGCUGCAUGGUGGGGGUUGGAAAGUUUCGGCGGUUGGGGCUGGAAUAGCGGCUUAUCAGCUUGUUGGUGGGGUAGUGGCUUACCAAGGCUUUGACGGGUAGCCGGCCUGAGAGGGUGACCGGCCACAUUGGUACUGAGGUACGGCCCAGACUCCUACGGGAGGCAGCGGGGGGGAACAUGGCACAAUGGGCGGAAGCCUGAUGCAGCAACGCCGCGUGCGGGAUGACGGCCUUCGGGUUGUAAACCGCUUUCGCCGGAGACGAAGCGUGAGUGACGGUAAUGGGAAAAGAAGCACCGGCUAACUACGUG
Molecule: ribosomal RNA, 468 nt
Filed under: uncultured bacterium
Lineage: Bacteria
Description: partial 16S ribosomal RNA
Rfam family: Bacterial small subunit ribosomal RNA
Source: RNAcentral